UGAUGCAGCAACGCCGCGUGCGGGAUGACGGCCUUCGGGUUGUAAACCGCUUUUAGUAGGGAAGAAGGGCUUCGGCUUGACGGUACCUGCAGAAAAAGGACCGGCUAACUACGUGCCAGCAGCCGCGGUAAUACGUAGGGUCCGAGCGUUGUCCGGAAUUAUUGGGCGUAAAGAGCUCGUAGGCGGUUUGUCGCGUCUGCUGUGAAAUCUGGAGGCUCAACCUCCAGCCUGCAGUGGGUACGGGCAGACUAGAGUGCGGUAGGGGAGAAUGGAAUUCCUGGUGUAGCGGUGGAAUGCGCAGAUAUCAGGAGGAACACCGAUGGCGAAGGCAGUUCUCUGGGCCGUAACUGACGCUGAGGAGCGAAAGCGUGGGGAGCGAACAGGAUUAGAUACCCUGGUAGUCCACGCCGUAAACGUUGGGCGCUAGAUGUGGGGACCUUUCCACGGUUUCCGUGUCGUAGCUAACGCAUUAAGCGCCCCGCCUGGGGAGUACGGCCGCAAGGCUAAAACUCAAAGGAAUUGACGGGGGCCCGCACAAGCGGCGGAGCAUGCGGAUUAAUUCGAUGCAACGCGAAGAACCUUACCAAGGCUUGACAUAACCGAGAACGCCCUAGAAAUAGGGAACUCUU
This 629-nucleotide ribosomal RNA is filed under the name Agromyces sp. So3Pw_1435. Its description in RNAcentral is "bacterial SSU rRNA". It matches the Rfam family "Bacterial small subunit ribosomal RNA", at positions 384 to 1018 of the family's 1533-position model. The record is from RNAcentral. Lineage: Bacteria; Bacillati; Actinomycetota; Actinomycetes; Micrococcales; Microbacteriaceae.